CCGGUGACUGGCUGCUGCAGCCAAUGAUGCGAUUCACAUACGUAUUUACCAUAGACUGUAUAUAAUGGUAUUUACGCAGCUAAUCAAUGUCAGGCGUCCUUAUGUGCAGCCACCGUUGUUCUCAUAGAUAUGAAUGAGUAAAUAGGACACGCCCCUUUGAGCUGCGUGCUACAGCGAGGCUAAGCUAGUGGGGCAAAGUUUCAGUGCAUUCCGUUGAUGUAGACGGCGUGAAAACGGAAACAAGUAUGCCGUCUCACUGUGCUGCAUACAAUUACACACUACGUCGUACGAUUGAGACAAGGAAACUUGGAAUGGCUUUUCAUAGGUUUCCCAGAGACUAUGGGUUGAGGAGGAAUUGGAAGUUUGUCGGCUUAGACCUGGUGUCAUUCCAUCAGUGUUAAACUUCCCGGCUCAUCUUUGAAGAGUAUGUGCCAGAAAGACCACGACCAAGCAGCCUUGAGAUCUUAGGUAGCGUCUCCCUGAGUCGCUGUAAAAAGUCAGUCCAUCCUGGCCGACUUCACCACCUCUUCAUGACAACUUGUUCUGCCUCCGACCUGGUGGAAACUCGGGAAAACCCGUGGAGACUCGAAGAACUCGUGGAGACUCGAAAAACUCGUCGGGCGGGGGAAGGUGUGG
Amphiprion ocellaris (clown anemonefish) is the source of this 636-nucleotide long non-coding RNA. The record is from Ensembl. NCBI's taxonomy places the organism in Eukaryota, Metazoa, Chordata, Actinopteri, Pomacentridae.